AUACGGAGGGUGCAAGCGUUGUUCGGAAUUACUGGGCGUAAAGCGCGCGUAGGUGGUCUGUUAUGUCAGAUGUGAAAGUCCACGGCUCAACCGUGGAAGUGCAUUUGAAACUGGCAGACUUGAGUACUGGAGGGGGUAGUGGAAUUCCCGGUGUAGAGGUGAAAUUCGUAGAUAUCGGGAGGAAUACCGGUGGCGAAGGCGACUACCUGGCCAGAUACUGACACUGAGGUGCGAAAGCGUGGGGAGCAAACAGGAUUAGAUACCCCGGUAGUCC
This 274-nucleotide ribosomal RNA is filed under the name uncultured bacterium. RNAcentral describes it as "partial 16S ribosomal RNA". It matches the Rfam family "Bacterial small subunit ribosomal RNA", at positions 523 to 796 of the family's 1533-position model. The record is from RNAcentral.